This 383-nucleotide ribosomal RNA is filed under the name uncultured bacterium. RNAcentral's name for it is "bacterial SSU rRNA". It matches the Rfam family "Bacterial small subunit ribosomal RNA", at positions 28 to 414 of the family's 1533-position model. The record is from RNAcentral.
GAUGAACGCUGGCGGCGUGCUUAACACAUGCAAGUCGAACGUGAGAGGUAGCAAUAUCUUGAAAGUGGCGAACGGGUGAGUAACACGUAGGUAACCUGCCUCGGAGUGGGGGAUAACAGUUAGAAAUGACUGCUAAUACCGCAUGAAUCCAUGGAUUAGGGAUAAUCGAUGGAGAAAACUCUGGUGCUUCGAGAGGGGCCUGCGGCCGAUUAGCUAGUUGGUGGGUAAAGGCCUACCAAGGCGACGAUCGGUAGCUGGUCUGAGAGGACGAUCAGCCACACGGGAACUGAGACACGGUCCCGACUCCUACGGGGGGCAGCAGUGAGGAAUAUUGGGCAAUGGGCGGAAGCCUGACCCAGCAACGCCGCGUGGAGGAAUGAAGG